CCUACGGGUGGCAGCAGUGAGGAAUAUUGGUCAAUGGCCGUAAGGCUGAACCAGCCAAGCCGCGUGAAGGACGAAGGUGCUAUGCUUUGUAAACUUCUUUUAUAGGGGGAUAAAAGUAUGCACGUGUGUCUGAUUGAAUGUACCCUAUGAAUAAGCAUCGGCUAACUCCGUGCCAGCAGCCGCGGUAAUACGGAGGAUGCGAGCGUUAUCCGGAUUUAUUGGGUUUAAAGGGUGCGUAGGCGGUGUGUUAAGUCAGCGGUGAAAGGCCGGGGGUCAACCCCGGAAGUGCCGUUGAAACUGGAUGUCUUGAGUUGUGGAGAGGUAGGCGGAAUGCGCGGUGUAGCGGUGAAAUGCAUAGAUAUCACGCAGAACUCCGAUUGCGAAGGCAGCUUACCA
Molecule: ribosomal RNA, 396 nt
Filed under: uncultured bacterium
Lineage: Bacteria
Description: partial 16S ribosomal RNA
Rfam family: Bacterial small subunit ribosomal RNA
Source: RNAcentral